Long non-coding RNA from Bos taurus (domestic cattle), 2014 nucleotides. The record is from Ensembl. Lineage: Eukaryota; Metazoa; Chordata; Mammalia; Artiodactyla; Bovidae.
CUACACUUUUAUUGUUAUCAUCAUCAUCAUCAUCGUCUCUUAAAUUUCUGCUACUUCUUUGAAUCAGAGGAAUUAUUUCUGGUGCUACUUGACCUUAGUAUUAGACAGGCCAAAAGUUCAUUUGGUUUUAUUCUGUAGAUGUCUCUAGUAGUGCCUCUCUUUAACGUCAUUCAAAACAGUUUUCAAUGUUUUCGGUGAAUUAUGCUUUCUUGUUUCAAGAAAGGUAACUUGAAAAUGCAACUGAAACGCAAAAAAAAAAAAAAAAAAAAAAAAGAUUUGUGCAGUGUAUGGAGAAGGUACUGUGACUGAUUGCACUUCUUAAAAGUGGUUUGUGAAAUUUCAUGCUAGAAAUUUCUUGCUGGAUGUUGCUCCAUAGCCGAGUAGACCAGUUGGAGUUGAUAGAGAUCAAAUUGAGACAUUAGUUGAGACCAGGCAGUGUUAUACCACCUGGGAAAUAGCCAACAUACUCAAAAUAUCCCAGUCAAGCAUUGAAAAUCAUUUGUACCAGCUUGGUUAUGUUAAUCACUUUGCUGUUUGGGUUCCACAUAAAUGAAAAAAACCGAAAAAACAAAACCAUCUUGACUUUGUUUCUGCAUGGCAAUUCUCUACUUAAAUGUAAGGAAAAUGUUUCAUUUUUAAAACAAUUUGUGAUGGGCCAUGAAAAGUGGAUACUGUACAGUUAUGUGAAAUGGAAGAGAUUGUGGGGCAAGUGAAAGGAACCACCACCAACCACACCAAAGGAUGGUCUUCACCUAUAGAAGGUGAUGUGUAUAUGUGGGAUUGAAAGGGAGUCCUCUACUAUGAACUUCUUCCAGAAAACCAAAUGAUUCAUUCCAACAAAUACUGUUCCCAAUUAGACCAAUUGAAAGCAGCACUCCUGAAAAGCAUCCAGAUUAAGUAAAAAAGAAAACACAUACUCUUCCAUGAGGAUAACACAAGACCACAUGUUUCUAGGAUGACCAGGCAAAAACUGUACAGCUUGGUCAGCAAGUUCUGAUCUAUCUGCCAUAUUCACCAGACGUUGAACCUUCAGAUUUCCAUUAUUUUAGUCUUUACAAAAUUUUCUCAAUGGAAAAAAUUUCCAUUUCUUAGAAGACUGUAAAAGGCACCUGGAACAGUUCUUUGCUUAAAAAGAUAAAAAGUUUUGGGAAGAUGGAAUUACAAAGUUGCCUGAAAAAUGGCAGAAUAUAGUGGAACAAAACUGAAUAUGUCGUUCAAUAAAGUUCUUGGUGAAAAUGAAAAAUAUGUCUUUUCUCUUUACUUGAAGAAGUGUUUUGGCCAGCCUGACAGAUUCAUCCUGAUUUCCCACUUUGUGAAUUAGCCUUUUCUUUUUCCUUAAUUUUCUUCUUUGAAAAGAAAUUCAGAAUCACAGAUUAGUUUUGUCAUCCCCACCAAGUGCCUACUUUUUAACCACCUUCUGUGUUGUGUAUACAAGAAAUAGAAAUUCAUUCUAAUUAGAAAGGGACAGUGAAAAUCCAUGUGUCCCCACUAGAAAAGCCCAAACUAAACAUUUUAAUCAAGGGAAUAAAUAUAAAAGCUCUUAUUAUUCUCUUUAGAGAAAAGGCUUCAUCAAAAGAAUCCAUAUCUGCAAAUCAAUUUCUUCUUUUUUAAAAUUUUAAGUGUAAGGCAUUAGUAAGGUAUUUAUUAGCAACUUCAGUGGCUGUUUUAGAAGCAUAUUUUGAAAACACUUGUUCUGGCAAAAAAUAGAGGUGCUGGCAUCUCUCAGAUUUAAGAUAAUUAGUUUUCAAAUUGCCAUAGCGAAAAUAGUUCAGGUGACAGAGGGAUCAGUUGUGACAUGUACUUCAAUUUUCUUUUAGACACUAGACUCAAGGACUAAUGCUAUUCUAUAUUACAGCAGUUUUGAUGCAAUUCAUAUUUUAUAAAUAUUUAUAAGAAGGCGAUCAGUGGGCUUUGAGAAAGUAGCUUCCCACCAUUUAACAUUUUAAAUAUUACUGUGUGUUUUGUUGUUAAAUUUGUAAGCCUAUCUUUAUUAAACUGACUUGUUAAAAGAAAA